GAUCACGGGGCACAUGGCUGUAGGAAGGGCCAUGCCCUGAAGACACAGGCAAAGUGCCUGUAAAUAAACCCUGAGUGGGCAACAUGAAUGGCCGCAGACCAGACAAAAUGAGAAUCCAGUUAAACAAGUGCAUGAAAUAUGCCCCUUAGUCCACUCAGCCUGCAACACAAAAGCACAGAACAGGCAGCUUCUAAACCACAGACAUUGACUUCCGUUCUGGAGGCCGGAAGUCCAAGAUGGAGGGUCCCGCAGAUUCCGUGUCUGAUUGUUGCAGCAGAUCCAACUGAAGGAUACACCAACCAUUUUAAUCGGACACAAAAGAACAGGCUGUCCUCACCUGACCACCACCCACAACAACCGAACUUUAAUCAGACACAAAAGAACAGGCUGUCACCUGACCACCACCCACAACAACCGAAGGGCAGGGUGAGUCCAUUUAGAGUCUCGAGAAUUUCAGACGUGCAUUCACUUUAAAGAGUGCACCAGAAGUGUGAUUUGAAGAGGACAAAUGGUUUUCUAGCUCCAGAGUGGUUAAAAUAUAAUCUGGGUAAGUAAGGAGAAAUGGAAGUGCCUAACGAAUCCAACGUGUGAGAAAAGCUGGUGAAGACAAUUCAUGGGGGAUUUGAUGCUCUGUGUAAAACAGAGAAGGAAGAAAGCCAUUUAGUUGUGAAGGAGGCCCUUCGCAAAUACCAGCAAAGGCAGCCCAGGACAGGGACGCUGGCCAACCUCUGCUAGAAUCACGUUGCUGCUAGAUAAUGCAAUGCACAAAUAAAGUAACAGAUCCAAUAAUGCAAAUUUUAAAA
Long non-coding RNA from Homo sapiens (human), 803 nucleotides. Ensembl annotates it as long intergenic non-protein coding RNA 700. Lineage: Eukaryota; Metazoa; Chordata; Mammalia; Primates; Hominidae. The record is from Ensembl.